CCUGUUAUGACACAGUGUAGCGCCUUCUGGUCCCUCAGGAUGGGGUAGAGAAUGCCCCCAAAUCACCCCAUGUUUUGGAGGGGAAAAUACUAACUGACACCAGCUCAUAGGAAUGCCCACUGGAGGGAUGUGAAAGAUGCUGCCUGGGAUCUGUGACCUUUGCCCUUUCCCAGCGUGACUGAUUUCCUCUGGUGUUCAGAGUGGACUGAGGUUUUCUCGCAUCAUUUGAAAUCAAUGGUGUUGAAAGAGAUGGCACCACGUCAGGCAAGAUUCGGAGAGGCCUCAGCCAUCAAACCGCUCUAUAGGAGCUCAUGUUAUGACAACUCUUCCUUGGGCUUGGGGCUGUUCUGGAAGGAGACAACAGCUGAGUACUUCCUCAUCCAAUCUCCAGUCCACACAGCCUCACCCACCUGGUACACACUACUGAUGGGGC
Molecule: long non-coding RNA, 433 nt
Organism: Oncorhynchus tshawytscha (Chinook salmon)
Lineage: Eukaryota; Metazoa; Chordata; Actinopteri; Salmoniformes; Salmonidae
Source: Ensembl